CCUACGGGAGGCUGCAGUGAGGAAUAUUGGUCAAUGGACGAGAGUCUGAACCAGCCAAGUAGCGUGAAGGAUGACUGCCCUAUGGGUUGUAAACUUCUUUUAUACAGGAAUAAAACGCGGCACGUGUGCCUGUUUGCAUGUACCUUAUGAAUAAGGAUCGGCUAACUCCGUGCCAGCAGCCGCGGUAAUACGGAGGAUCCGAGCGUUAUCCGGAUUUAUUGGGGUUAAAGGGAGCGUAGGUGGGUUGUUAAGUCAGUUGUGAAAGUUUGCGGCUCAACCGGAGCAUUGAAGUUGAUACUGGAAGUCUUGAGUACAGUUGAGGUAGGCGGAAUUCGUGGUGUAGCGGUGAAAUGCUUAGAUAUCACGAAGAACCCCGAUUGCGAAGGCAGCUUAC
This 394-nucleotide ribosomal RNA is filed under the name uncultured bacterium. RNAcentral describes it as "partial 16S ribosomal RNA". It matches the Rfam family "Bacterial small subunit ribosomal RNA", at positions 338 to 729 of the family's 1533-position model. The record is from RNAcentral.